RNAcentral lists this ribosomal RNA (380 nucleotides) under uncultured bacterium. RNAcentral's name for it is "bacterial SSU rRNA". It matches the Rfam family "Bacterial small subunit ribosomal RNA", at positions 37 to 408 of the family's 1533-position model. The record is from RNAcentral.
UGGCGGCGUGCCUAACACAUGCAAGUCGAACGGAGUUAUAUGAAGUUUUCGGACGGAAUAUAACUUAGUGGCGGACGGGUGAGUAACGCGUGGGUAACCUGCCUCAUACAGGGGGAUAACAGCCGGAAACGGCUGCUAAAACCGCAUAUUAUGCGAAUGCCGCAUGGCAACCGUAUGAAAUAUUUAUAGGUAUGAGAUGGGCCCGCGUCUGAUUAGCUAGUUGGUAGGGUAAUGGCCUACCAAGGCGACGAUCAGUAGCCGGCUUGAGAGAGUGACCGGCCACAUUGGGACUGAGACACGGCCCAAACUCCUACGGGAGGCAGCAGUGGGGAAUAUUGCACAAUGGGGGAAACCCUGAUGCAGCGACGCCACGUGAGUGA